Molecule: non-coding RNA, 21 nt
Filed under: Caenorhabditis elegans
Lineage: Eukaryota; Metazoa; Nematoda; Chromadorea; Rhabditida; Rhabditidae
Source: RNAcentral
UUGUUCACUGAACACGAAAAA